CGCCUGGGGAGUGCGGCCGCAAGGUUAAAACUCAAAUGAAUUGACGGGGGCCCGCACAAGCGGUGGAGCAUGUGGUUUAAUUCGACGCAACGCGAAGAACCUUACCUGGCCUUGACAUCCAGAGAGCUUUCCAGAGAUGGAUUGGUGCCUUCGGGAACUCUGAGACAGGUGCUGCAUGGCCGUCGUCAGCUCGUGUCGUGAGAUGUUGGGUUAAGUCCCGUAACGAGCGCAACCCCUAUCCCUGGUUGCUAGCAGGUAAUGCUGAGAACUCCAGGGAGACUGCCGGUGACAAACCGGAGGAAGGUGGGGAUGACGUCAGGUCAUCAUGGCCCUUACGGCCAGGGCUACACACGUGCUACAAUGGCGCGUACAGAGGGCUGCCAACUCGCGAGAGUGAGCCAAUCCCUUAAAACGCGUCGUAGUCCGGAUCGGAGUCUGCAACUCGACUCCGUGAAGUCGGAAUCGCUAGUAAUCGCGAAUCAGAAUGUCGCGGUGAAUACGUUCCCGGGCCUUGUACACACCGCCCGUCACACCAUGGGAGUGGAUUGCACCAGAAGUAGUUAGUCUAACCUUCGGGAGGACGAUUACCACGGUGUGGUUCAUGACUGGGGUGAAGUCGUAACAAGGUAACCGUA
This 635-nucleotide ribosomal RNA is filed under the name uncultured Marinobacter sp. RNAcentral describes it as "bacterial SSU rRNA". It matches the Rfam family "Bacterial small subunit ribosomal RNA", at positions 870 to 1504 of the family's 1533-position model. The record is from RNAcentral. Lineage: Bacteria; Pseudomonadati; Pseudomonadota; Gammaproteobacteria; Pseudomonadales; Marinobacteraceae.